UACGUAGGGGGCGAGCGUUGUCCGGAUUUAUUGGGCGUAAAGAGCGUGUAGGCGGUCCGGUAAGUCCGCUGUGAAAGUCGGGGGCUCAACCCUCGAAUGCCGGUGGAUACUGUCGGGCUAGAGUGCGGAAGAGGCGAGUGGAAUUCCUGGUGUAGCGGUGAAAUGCGUAGAUAUCGGGAGGAACACCAGUGGCGAAGGCGACUACCUGGCCCAUUCUUGACGCUGAGGCGCGAAAGCUAGGGGAGCGAACGGG
RNAcentral lists this ribosomal RNA (253 nucleotides) under uncultured bacterium. RNAcentral's name for it is "partial 16S ribosomal RNA". It matches the Rfam family "Bacterial small subunit ribosomal RNA", at positions 524 to 776 of the family's 1533-position model. The record is from RNAcentral.